This is a long non-coding RNA of Clupea harengus (Atlantic herring), 1065 nucleotides long. NCBI's taxonomy places the organism in Eukaryota, Metazoa, Chordata, Actinopteri, Clupeiformes, Clupeidae. The record is from Ensembl.
CUGAAUCUCUAUUCAACUCUACUCUUAGGGUGACCGUAGGCCUUGAGGUAGAGUUUAUAAAGGCACUGAAUCUCUAUUCAACUCUACUCUUAGGGUGACCGUAGGCCUUGAGGUAGAGUUUAUAAAGGCACUGAAUCUCUAUUCAACUCUACUCUUAGGGUGACCGUAGGCCUUGAGGUAGAGUUUAUAAAGGCACUGAAUCUCUAUUCAACUCUACUCUGAGGCCUACGGUCACCCUAAGAGUAGAAUUUAUAAAGGCACUGAAUCUCUUGUCAACUCCACUGACCGUAGGCCUUGAGUUAGAGUUUAUAAAGGCUCUGAAUCUCUAGUCAACUCUACUCUUAAGGUGACCGUAGGCCUUGAGGUAGAGUUUAUAAAGGCACUGAAUCUAGUCAACCUGAAUAUUCCUCAGCAUAGGCUACAUGCCUGCUAGACCUUGGAACUAUGGUUAAAAGCCUUAGCUUCAGCCAGGAUGUAGUUCAUGUAUUGAAUGGUCUUGUCCUCUUAUCAGAAUCAGAAUAGUAUUUAUUGCCAAGUAGGUUUACACCUACCUGGAAUUUGUUUUGGUGUAUAGGUGCAUACAGUGAACAUAAAACAUACAAACACAAUAAGUACUACAAUACAAAAAGCAGGGCAGGAGUGCAAAAGUGGAUGUGCAGUGUGCAAUGUAGUGUGUGUUAACAUACAUAAUGUGUCUUUAGGUCUAUUGAUGUUACCAUCACAUGAUGGCUGAAAAGUAAUUUGUUUUGGGAAGAGGCACGUCCAGGUUUUCGCUGUCCUGCAAUGACAGUAUCAAAAGGAAAAGAGUGACACUAAUAUAAAUAUACAAAACUGAACUAAUAUAGCGUUCAGUAGCCAUGUAAGAAUCUACUUUAAUUAAAACUGAACUAAUAUAGCGUUCAGCAGCCAUGUAAGAAUAUACUUUAAUUAAUGUGUUGCAAAGUAGGAAGCCUAAAGCACUUGUGCAGUGCUAUAAUGUAGGCUAAGUGUAGAAGACACCACUUGUGCUGAAGGUCUAGUUUAGGGUUUUUCAGUAAGUCCAUAUAUACUGCAAAUAUAGCAGUA